This 253-nucleotide ribosomal RNA is filed under the name uncultured bacterium. Its description in RNAcentral is "partial 16S ribosomal RNA". It matches the Rfam family "Bacterial small subunit ribosomal RNA", at positions 524 to 776 of the family's 1533-position model. The record is from RNAcentral.
GACGUAGGGCGCGAGCGUUGUCCGGAUUUAUUGGGCGUAAAGAGCUCGUAGGCGGCUUGUCGCGUCGACUGUGAAAACCCGCGGCUCAACUGCAGGCUUGCAUUCGAUACGGGCAGGCUCGAGUUCGGUAGGGGAGACUGGAAUUCCUGGUGUAGCGGUGAAAUGCGCAGAUAUCAGGAGGAACACCGGUGGCGAAGGCGGGUCUCUGGGCCGAUACUGACGCUGAGGAGCGAAAGCGUGGGGAGCGAACAGG